AAGCAUUCUGAUAAAUAAUUAGCCAAUUAAUUGACAUUACAAAAUAAAUAAAGAAAAAAAUCAUUGGAAAGAUCACUGCUUAAAUGAAAUUUGAAAUAUCUCCCAAUAGUUUUGAUCGGUUGCCCGAGUUGUGAGAGUGAUCGGUUGAUAUUGCGUGCUUCCUUCAAGCGCUCCCCAGCUGCACCUGUUAGCUUCUGCCUCCGGAACCAGAACUAUCUGCACUUCGAUUUACAAAUUCAUUGGCUUUUUCCGACAGUGCCCACAACUGUUAGUUGUUACAGGUAAAAAAAGCAGUAUGUGAUAGCGAACUCUCAGGAACGGUCGGGUUAGAAGAGGGAGGCCUAGGUGGAAGCGGGCUCUUCAGGAUUUGGAAUCGAAAACCGAUCUGACGGUGGAGAAUUUUCUUUGGAAGACUUGGGUUUCCGAGGGGGUCUGCGGCCCUUGAUUUCGGCACCGUUAAGGCUAGAAGAAGAAGAAAGUGGUGGAUCGACGAGAUGGGUAUCUCGCAAGACAGAGUUUCUUGGCUGCUUCACGUUAGAGAGGAAGAGCGAAAUUUUGGAGGUAUAGGAAGAGCGAAACGGAAUUUGAGAGAUAGGAAAUCGCAGGGUUUGAGGAAGACGAAGAAGAGAAGGGGAGAUGAGAGGCAGAGUAAACCGAUCGAGAAGAAAAAGGGGAAAGAAAUUUGAAAUAAAAGAGAACGUUGAGGUUGAAGAAGAGGGGAAAGAAAAUUGACCGUUGAGGUUAUUUAAUUUUUGGAUUAAAUAUUUUCUAUGAAAAUUAAAAAAGAAAAAGUUAAAAGGCAAA
Long non-coding RNA from Cucumis sativus (cucumber), 804 nucleotides. RefSeq lists it as uncharacterized. The transcript is spliced from 3 exons. The record is from RefSeq and is a predicted model, not a curated record. Lineage: Eukaryota; Viridiplantae; Streptophyta; Magnoliopsida; Cucurbitales; Cucurbitaceae.